UACUUUCUGUAUGUUAGGAUGGUUUGGU
Molecule: non-coding RNA, 28 nt
Filed under: Mus musculus (house mouse)
Lineage: Eukaryota; Metazoa; Chordata; Mammalia; Rodentia; Muridae
Source: RNAcentral